Molecule: long non-coding RNA, 482 nt
Organism: Aedes aegypti (yellow fever mosquito)
Lineage: Eukaryota; Metazoa; Arthropoda; Insecta; Diptera; Culicidae
Exons: 3
Source: RefSeq, a predicted model, not a curated record
AAAAUAACAGCUGGCGAGUCGGCUGGCUGGCGAUGUUCUUUCCCCUCCGCUGAUUAAUGCCGUUUCCAUGGUACGAUUAUAGUGUUGUUAUGUUUUGGAAAACAAAUUGAAAAUGUGUGCAGUAGAAAAGACUGAUUCCGAGUACCAGAAGUUGAAUAUCGUGAUCGUGCAUUUAAACGAAAUUUUUGGGCUCUGCAUGGACUAACUCUAUUGCUGCUAAUCUGGUGUACAAGGGAAGAUUUCAGCUUGUUUAAGGCAUCAUGAGGCCAUUGUGCUGUACUCGGUAUUGAGAAUGUAUGAAUACUUUUUAUUGCAACGGUGAGAGACAAAAUGGAGCCCAAAAAUCGCUGAAAUGGAGUCUUAUUUUGAACGUUUUUCGAGAUUGCUGCAUAAAUAAUUAUCCAUAUAUUUCUCAAGUGUUUUGUGUAUUCCCGGAAAUACCUAUGAAUAUAUUUGCUCUUCUAUGAGUUUUUGAUUAUCGA